AGAAAUGCCAGCGCUCCUCCGUCGCAGAGCAGACUUGCAGGCACACGAAUUACCCAUGCAACUCACCAACAUGUGUGCAGGGAAAGUGAAGCCAGCAGAAUGACUGCAGGAACCCAUCCAACUAAUAAGAAGCUUAUAACUCUUUGGCAAUUUGUUUGGCUCGGGAGUUACUGCAAAGUCAGAAAGGUGUUCAGCGUUGAGUUUUUCAGGCCAAAGACUUCUGGAAAAAGUCACAUUAAU
Bos indicus x Bos taurus (hybrid cattle) is the source of this 240-nucleotide long non-coding RNA. The record is from Ensembl. Lineage: Eukaryota; Metazoa; Chordata; Mammalia; Artiodactyla; Bovidae.